RNAcentral lists this ribosomal RNA (323 nucleotides) under uncultured bacterium. RNAcentral's name for it is "bacterial SSU rRNA". It matches the Rfam family "Bacterial small subunit ribosomal RNA", at positions 28 to 334 of the family's 1533-position model. The record is from RNAcentral.
GAUGAACGCUGGCGGCGUGCUUAACACAUGCAAGUCGAACGGAACUGUUUGGAUGAAGUUUUCGGAUGGAUUUUAAACAGUUUAGUGGCGGACGGGUGAGUAACGCGUGGGUAACCUACCUCACACUGGGGGAUAACAGUUAGAAAUAGCUGCUAAUACCGCAUAAGCGCACAGAGCUGCAUGGCUCAGUGUGAAAAACUCCGGUGGUAUAAGAUGGACCCGCGUUGGAUUAGCUGGUUGGUGGGGUAACGGCCCACCAAGGCGACGAUCCAUAGCCGGCCUGAGAGGGUGAACGGCCACAUUGGGACUGAGACACGGCCCAG